GACGAACGCUGGCGGCGUGCUUAACACAUGCAAGUCGAACGAAGAGCGAUGGAAGCUUGCUUCUAUCAAUCUUAGUGGCGAACGGUUGAGUAACGCGUAAUCAACCUGCCCUUCAGAGGGGGACAACAGUUGGAAACGACUGCUAAUACCGCAUACGAUCUAAUCUCGGCAUCGAGGAUAGAUGAAAGGUGGCCCCUACAUGUAAGCUAUCACUGAAGGAGGGGAUUGCGUCUGAUUAGCUAGUUGGAGGGGUAACGGCCAACCAAGGCGAUGAUCAGUAGCCGGUCUGAGAGGAUGAACGGCCAAAUUGGGACUGAGACACGGCCCAGACUCCUACGGGAGGCAGCAGUGGGGAAUCUUCCGCAAUGGACGAAAGUCUGACGGAGCAACGCCGCGGGAGUAAUGACGGCCUUCGGGUGGUAAAGCUCUGUUAAUCGGGACGAAAGGCCUUCUUGCGAAUAGUGAGAAGGAGUGACGGGACCGGAAUAGAAAGCCACGGCUAACUACG
This 508-nucleotide ribosomal RNA is filed under the name uncultured bacterium. RNAcentral describes it as "partial 16S ribosomal RNA". It matches the Rfam family "Bacterial small subunit ribosomal RNA", at positions 28 to 505 of the family's 1533-position model. The record is from RNAcentral.